Anarrhichthys ocellatus (wolf-eel) is the source of this 4741-nucleotide RNA transcript. It is a transcript of the gene named vitamin K epoxide reductase complex, subunit 1-like 1, with no coding region annotated. NCBI's taxonomy places the organism in Eukaryota, Metazoa, Chordata, Actinopteri, Perciformes, Anarhichadidae. The record is from RefSeq and is a predicted model, not a curated record. The transcript is spliced from 4 exons.
UCAGGCGAACUCGCUGCGUAUGUAUGCGUGUCUCCAGCUAGGCCAGAGAGUGAUGGCGGCGCCCGUCCUGAGAGUGUCCACCCCUCGGUGGGAAAGAAUAGCUAGGCUACUCGUUUGCCUGUUGGGCAUCCUGUUGUCUCUAUAUGCCUUUCACGUCGAGAGGGAAAAGGCUCGGGAUCCGAGUUUUAAGGCCAUGUGCGACGUCAGCAGCUCCAUCAGCUGUUCGAAAGUGUUCAGCUCAAGGUGGGGUCGAGGAUUUGGACUCCUGGGCUCAAUUUUUGGAAAUGACAGCGCACUGAACCAACCCAACAGUGUCUACGGGAUCGCCUUUUAUGCCUCUCAGCUCCUACUAGGAAUGACUGUGAGUGCAAUGGCCGCCCUUAUUCUCAUGACGACAUCCAUCUUGUCGGUGGUGGGUUCGCUCUACCUGGGCUACAUCCUCUACUUUGUCCUAAAGGACUUCUGCAUCAUCUGCAUCACCACAUACGCGCUGAACUUCAUUCUCUUUAUUCUCAACUACAAGCGACUGGUUUACUUGAACGAGGCCUGGAAGCAGCAGCUUCAGGCCAAGCAGGACUAAGCUGUCGAGAGCCGCAAGAAAAGUGCGACAAACAAACAAACAAAAGAAAAAAAGAAAUGUGACCUCUGAACAUUUGACUUGCCACCAGGAGACCUUGCUUCCAAACAAUGUUUAUUCUGCUGUGUGUUUAAAAAGAAAAAAAAACAAAGAAAAAACAAAGAAAAGGAAAAAAAAGAAGAAGAAAUUUAACUUAAAUGUUGGGCCGGACAUCUCAAUGUUGCAAACACGGAAGGAGUUCGGAGGCAGAAGACCACGAUACCGAACGAUGGAGGACAGCUCUCUUGUGAACAAAAAGGAUCGCAGAACGGAAGAAAACAGGACAUUAAAGGGGUUUACUUGAAACGGUUAGAAAAGGUCCGAUUGCUGCACAGCGGAUCUGCACUAAAAACUCCGAACCGAAUAAUGUGUCCCAAAAUAAUAAUAAAAAACACUCAUUAGUUUAUCCUACAGUUUGCAGAUAAGGUUCUAGCGGGGGAGAGGGGGGGGCAAAAGGAUUAACAUUUAUACAGAAUAGUUUGUUUUCAUGUUUACACUUUGUAGUAUGUUUCUUUUAUGAAGAGGACCACUAAAAAUCAACACGGGACAAUGUGAGAAAACUUGUGUGUAGAUCAGUCCGACUGUUUGUUUCGCUAUUCUGUAAAUAGCUGCUGAGCAAUAUUCCAGGCUAGAUUGUGAUUUAGUGUUGACACAAACCUUUACGGACAAAAAUGAAGAAAAAACAACAACACACCAACAGAACAGGAGAGAACAUCAGUAAAUUGGGAACCAAAAAAAAAGCGAUAAAUGUCACUUGUCAGGUGGAGGAGUCUGAAGAUGUGCUCGGGACGUCCUCCGCCCCCCAAAUCCUGGUCAGGCAUGCAGUUGAGUGUGUGGAUUUCUUUGUUGCAAGUGGUUGUCGUUUCAUCUGAAGCCACCGACACAAGUCUUUCAAACUGAACUUUGGGUUCUUCUCACCAAGUUUGCAUAAAGGCACCCUCACUUUUUUUUUUUUCUUCAUUCUCUUUUUGGUUAUGUGAAAAGCAUUCCUGACCUCCACACAAGUGGGAUCCAUAAUGAAUUAUGUGCCUAAAGGAGUGUUAAGGUGAAUUACCUUAAUUUCUUUUUUUUACGUUUCGGUUGUGGGUGGGGGGGUAAUGUCAUGUUGUUACCAGGUCUGCUCGUUGUUUUCUUGUCACAGGUCCAAGGCUUUAUUUUUAUGAUCACAGUUUUGUAAGUUAAGAUACCAGUGAAGUGUUUCUCCCUCCCUAAUAGUCUCAUGAGGUAGCGACGGCUGCUACACUGUGAUUGUCUGCUGAAGUGUAGAGUGGCAGAGGCAUCUCCUAUCUUACUGUUUCAAUGUGUUAAUGCUCAUCUGGCUUGUGUUCACUGUCCAGCCUGUAUACAUUUGAUGUCAAUUGAACGGUGACGGUGAUCUUGCCAAGUUGAGUUACGGUUCAUUUGCAGGAUGUGAACAAAACACGUAAUGCUUGAUGUUGACGUGAGAGGCAGAGGCGUAACGGGGGUGUUAAGAUUCUGUACGACAAAAUUUUUUUAUUUAUUUUUUUUUAUUUUUUAAAAAGCAGAACGUUAAGCCAUAUGCAGGGUUUGUGGGAUCUUCGGAUCCAGUAGGAAAGACAUCCGGGUCGCUGGUGGGUUUCUAACAUGAACCGCUGCCGACACCGAGGCUUUUCAUGAAGUGGUUCAUCUCUAACAUAGCAAGGUUUGUACAGGCCCAGUAUGGGGGGAGAGCAACCACUGCUGGUAGUGGCGCUGCUAGAAAUCCACAGUAUUGCCAGUUCAGUCCAGCACUAAGUGACAGAGUCGGACCAUCCACUGAUUUAAAGCACCCUGCCCGUCGGGUGCAUGGUACACUAUCUCCUCGCUUUACGCAUAUGUUGGACAUCGGACAAUCCUACACUCACAGAUCCAGAACAGUCGUAGUAAUAACUGUACCAAUGUGAUUCAUCUGUGGUGUUAAACCGGCUUGUUAAUAGUUCCCAUUACUGCUCGUCUCCGUGCCCCCUGACAGUUGUUUGUGGAGUGAGGGUUGUUGAAGUAUUGAUGAUCGCAACUGCCAGGAAAGUAAUCUCAGCGACACGUUUCCUGUGAUGACGCUCAUGAAGUCAUCGCUCGUCUAUGAAAAUGGAAAUUGAGGAGGUACCACCUCCCAGGAUAUUAUCAAGUGAAAUUGUUGUCUGUUCAUUCAUGUUGUAACCCAUUUACUUCUAAUCAUUUAGAGGCUGUGUUACAUUAUUGUUGCCCAUUUUCCAAAGCAUAAUAGUGUUUUCCUACAUACCGGGCAGACGGCAGUUUCCGUUCACUUCACUAUGUGAUGGGCUACACUUUAAUAAGAGAUGCUUCCAGCACUUAAUCCUUCACAGUGAAGAUCUAUAUACUGUUCACCAUGUCAACGUUUGUCCUUUGGGUCCCAGUAUAAGUGAUUUAAUGUGAUGCAGUUUGGCAUCGAGUCUACACCUCAGUCAUCCUCUGAUGGAUAACCCAACUUAAAGGAGUACUCCACCAUGUUAGCAUGCACUCUAAUAACAUUUAUUCACAAUUGAUGCAGCAAAACCAAGAAAUAUCUUUUAUUUAUUCCAUGCGUUCUUCUUUCUCCUCGUCAAAACCCGGGGCCUACAUUACCCACAGUACAACUCGACCACCGGGUUUUGGUAUGCUAGUAGUGGCUAACGUAGCAAAUGUAUGCAGUAGGACUCCCCAACACCCGUGAACAGACCUCAAUGUGUACAUUCUGUGGAGUAUCCCUUUAAACACAUUCCAUUCUCUUUGAAAGUGUAUUAUUCUCAUGCCGUUCAGUACAGAGUGGGAACCAACGGCUGCAUGGAAGAGAGUCAUUCAAACAAUAGUUUGCUUUGGAAAAUGGUCGGCAGUUCUGCUACAUUAAUUACACCAUUGGUAGUAAACUGGCCAAAAACAUGCAUGCACCAACACAGUCCUCCCAUAGGAUGAUUCAAAUGUUUGCAUCAUUUCUCAGCAAGUCAUCUUUAAGAUCUUCCGUAUACAGUAUUGCCGUGUCGGGCUUACAUCAGGUUCUGUUUCAUCUCGACUCAGAAAAAGAUUGACAACCGCACUGUUUUGUCUUUUGUCUGUGAACGCCUGUGCACUCGCAUGUAAGACAAGUCUCCUAUGGAUUCACUUGCACAAGUCAAACUGACAUAGCGUGCUGGUUUUUGCGGCAACGGCUAUGGGUCCCGUGAGUACCGGCGACCAUAGAACUGACAAGUGCACAGGAGGUAACAUUACGUUCAUGAUUCCAGUCAUUUGCAAGCCUGUCACACUCGUGUGCAGUUACUGAGGAAUUUGGAUGUCGAGUCAAAAGUUAGAAAUCUUUGGCUGGUAAACACAUGUUGUAUGACGAUUUAAUGUCAAGAAGAAAGGUCAAAACGAUCGAUAACUGCAUUCUCAAGAAUAUUCAUUUAGGUCCUGAGGUAUAACUGCCAUGUUAGUUGCAUCACCAAUGCCAACAAAAGUGCCUUCUGUUUGAUCACCAGGCCUUGAGCCAAAGACGAGCAACAGUAAUCGCCUUGUAAAAUGAAGAAUGGUAACCAUAACGGGCACUGAUGCUUGCUUUCCUGAAGAUGUAAUCUGAUAAAUUGGUAAUUCCCAAAGAGUUGAUAUCCAGUAUCGGUACAUUGAUCCAUUCGGAGAUUGCCAGACAAAAUGCCCUGUCAAAUCAAUGGUCAUCCCCUUUUCCCUUCCUGAACUCCUCUAUAAUUAUCUUUUAUUUUGUCUAGCUAGGACACGUUUGUUAGCUAAGAAUACACUCUGUUUAAACUACAUGAUUGUAAUGUUAUUUUUUUUCCAUCCCUAAUUAUGCCCUUUAGCUGUAUAGACUGUUAACAUUCUGCGGUUAUUUUAGUAAAAAAUGAAAUAAAAAGUUGGGGAGGGGGGCUAGGAAUCCAUGUGUCAGCAUAAAAUGUUUAUUCAAUUUCUUUGUGGAGGAAAACUUACUGAGUUUGCUUCUGUAUUGCCAAAUAUGUUUUAAAAUGCUGUAUUUUCUUACAUGGAAAAGUGUUACAUGAAUGGUAGGAGGGUGCAAAAAAAAUAAAAUCUGUUCAAAUCCAUCUUACCUUAAGGGAAAACUGUGGUUGACAUGAGAACAUUUUUAAUUGUGUCAUUGUCAUGUGGAAAUGAUCUACCAUUAAAACAUUCCCUCUGAAAAUA